GUAGGGAAUAUUGGGCAAUGGUCGGAAGACUGACCCAGCCAUGCCGCGUGCAGGAAGACGGCCCUCUGGGUUGUAAACUGCUUUUAUCUGGGAAGAAAAAGGCCAUGCGUGGCAAAUUGCCGGUACCAGAUGAAUAAGCACCGGCUAACUCCGUGCCAGCAGCCGCGGUAAUACGGAGGGUGCAAGCGUUGUCCGGAUUUAUUGGGUUUAAAGGGUGCGUAGGCGGCUGAUUAAGUCAGCGGUGAAAGACUCCGGCUUAACCGGAGCAGUGCCGUUGAUACUGGUUAGCUUGAGUGUUGGAGGGGUACAUGGAAUUGAUGGUGUAGCGGUGAAAUGCAUAGAUACCAUCAGGAACACCGAUAGCGAAGGCAUUGUACUGGCCAACAACUGACGCUGAUGCACGAAAGUGUGGGGAUCGAACAGGAUUAGAAACCCGAGUAGUCC
Molecule: ribosomal RNA, 444 nt
Filed under: uncultured bacterium
Lineage: Bacteria
Description: bacterial SSU rRNA
Rfam family: Bacterial small subunit ribosomal RNA
Source: RNAcentral